This is a long non-coding RNA of Monomorium pharaonis (pharaoh ant), 611 nucleotides long. RefSeq lists it as uncharacterized. The record is from RefSeq and is a predicted model, not a curated record. NCBI's taxonomy places the organism in Eukaryota, Metazoa, Arthropoda, Insecta, Hymenoptera, Formicidae. The transcript has 2 exons.
GAAGGGGGGUCUUCUCCUCAUUAUUGAUACGACUCGCUUGCUCAUCAAAUUUCCUUGAAGGAGGAGAGGAGGAAGGCAUUUAGACUGUGUCCUCUUUAAAUGCGCUGCAUUGACAGAUAAGCGAAUGAUGAAUUGUAUACACAGAGUGAAUGGUGCGCGCAAAGUUCAAGAAAGAGAUGCGGACGAGAGAACGUUCCAGGCUGGACCUUCGUACCGAAGGAAAUCGCAUCACGUUUCUUCCGUUUCACGUGAACCACACGUCUUCGAAGAAUUUGGUUUCUCGAACUAGCAAGGACAAAGUAACUAGACAAGGACAUUGCAAAUAAAAUGAAGGAUAUUAUUACACCUGCCUGACUAUGGAAAUCGAUAAAGUAAAUUCUUCAGAUUGAGUUGAUAAAAAGAAUAGAAAGUAUAAAUGCAUAUUUUAUGAAAACAGUGUUGCGACUUUGCUUUAAUGAAAUAGCUUAUAGUUAUUAUACAUACUUGCUAUUCUUCGUCCCACCCCCAAGUAAAAAAGAUAAAAAAAAUCUUGAAAAUGAUACACAAUAAAACUUGUAGAUUAUGACCGCAGUGCUUGUAAAGUUAUGUUCAAAUAAAAUUCAUACAAAAUA